GACGAACGCUGGCGGCGUGCUUAACACAUGCAAGUCGAGCGGUAAGGCCCUUUCGGGGGUACACGAGCGGCGAACGGGUGAGUAACACGUGGGUGACCUGCCCUCAGCUCUGGGAUAAGCCUGGGAAACCGGGUCUAAUACCGGAUAUGACUCCAUGACGCAUGUUGUGGGGUGGAAAGCCUUGUGCGGCUGAGGAUGGGCCCGCGGCCUAUCAGCUUGUUGGUGGGGUGANGGCCUACCAAGGCGACGACGGGUAGCCGGCCUGAGAGGGCGACCGGCCACACUGGGACUGAGACACGGCCCAGACUCCUACGGGAGGCAGCAGUGGGGAAUCUUGCGCAAUGGGCGAAAGCCUGACGCAGCGACGCCGCGUGAAGGAUG
This 381-nucleotide ribosomal RNA is filed under the name uncultured bacterium. RNAcentral describes it as "bacterial SSU rRNA". It matches the Rfam family "Bacterial small subunit ribosomal RNA", at positions 28 to 410 of the family's 1533-position model. The record is from RNAcentral.